UGACGUCACUGGUUAGAGUCGUGCUUGAACAACAACAGAAAUUUAUAGUGAAGUAGCUUGUUUUUAAACCAGAAAAAUGUCUGAUGUGUCUUCAGAAUCCGAUAAUUCUGAUCAGGUAUCCGUUGGCAGCGUCAGUAGUGAACGAUACAGUUCAAGCGAUAGCGAUGAGUACAAGUUUGAAGACAAUUUCUUGCCUUAUCAAGACGAGCCCUUGGCCAGCUCUAGUGACGACCAAACAGAAGAAUUAAGCGAUGAAGAACUCGAUGAAGACGGGAUUUCUCGACCUGUCUUGGAGCAACGAUACGAAAAACAAAUCCCACUUCAACAGUGGUAAGGAUUUCAUAUUUUGCUGGUGAAAAUUCUUCAUCUCAAGCGAUAAAAUACUCAGGUUUUCUCAUUGCUUUUUUUACUAUAGGUGUACAUGUGGUGGAUGUGAUGAUUCGCUUCUUGUCGGCGCUCGUGAAUUUCGAUGCUGCAAGGAAAUACUCGAAGCUACAGGGAAAUUUACGUUCGAAGGGAUGAAUGCAGCAUGUAUUUUAAGCCACCAUGACUUUGCUCCAAUGACGAACCGAACAGUCCUGCUGCAAGUUGGACCUUUGCUAAGAGAUAAGAGUGGGAAACGAUACCAAAAGUCUGGCCAUACAGAAAAUGAGUAAGUGCCUGAUUUUUCAAUAUAAAGUAAUAUUACUUAUAUUGAUGCUACAUAGAUUAUACUCUGUACAUCACUACCAUCUUUUGCAAUCUUUUUCUUGAUAGGUUUCUGCGAGCUGUUGCUUACAGAUGGUUAGCAAGAUGGCUGUUUGGGGAAAUGGGAUGGGAAAACACCAGACCUCUCUCUGCUUGCAUAUACCAAAAAAUAAGGAAAACAUUCGCCACAAGCAACACUGUUGGAUACACUUCUGGUCAAGAAAGAGCAAGUGACCAUUAAAGUUGGGGUAUACUGUGACUGUAUUUUAGGCCCUGUUUAUAUGAGACUGGGGCAACCGAUGAAGUCUGACUGGGAUGAAAAUCAAGACCGAUACUAUCUUUCAAUUUAUUCCCCUUGCCCAUCAUUUUCUUACAGUGCUUUUGUGAGUAUGCAUUGUUCUGAAGCCAAGAGCACUGCCUAGAUCAGUCUGAAAUGUAUUUGUGUUUACAUUCACCCCACUCCAAUUCAUCGAGGCCUGAAGAUAGUCAAUUCAGCAAGCGGGAUAGCUUCAGACCGGUCUGACCAAUUUAAUUUCGUCACAGCCUCAUGUAGACAUCUAUUAUAAAUAAUACUCUGGUCAAAAUCAAAUUUUCCCGGUUUGACUUCAUCCCAGUCUAAUGUAAACAAGGCCUUAUUUUUAAAUGACCUGUAGAACACUACUAAGGGCCUGUUUAUAUGGAAGCCGCCCGGCUGGCCCGCUUAGUGAGACAGGAUGAAUUUCUCUUGUGUUUACCGGGC
Paramuricea clavata is the source of this 1426-nucleotide non-coding RNA. NCBI's taxonomy places the organism in Eukaryota, Metazoa, Cnidaria, Anthozoa, Malacalcyonacea, Plexauridae. The record is from the annotation of a GenBank genome assembly.